AGGUGUCAGGUGAAAAUGCAAAUGAUUUCUUCUUUUUGCUUGUAGUUCUUCCAAUCAGCAGAACUAGAGUCAAUAUGUGAGAUUCAAGGGCAAACAGAUUUUUAUUCAACAUAAAGAUCAUUCUGCUUAUUAGAACUGUGCAAUGAUGAAAUAUAUGUAUGUAAGCAAAAACUACAAGAUCUUGCGGAGAGAGCAAAUUCCUGCACUGAAGCCCUUCACAGUGAAGAUGUCUGUGUCAACGGGCGAAGAAGACCAGACAGCUCCUGAAGAUGCUGCACACUGGGGACAGGCCAGAUGUGCAGUGUUCAGAGACAACAGCUGAACCGGGAGCCAUCGACGGUGAGGAAGGCUAACUGCAAGAGCAAUGACACAGGAAUCAGGUCUGACAUCAGCCCC
Sciurus carolinensis (gray squirrel) is the source of this 396-nucleotide long non-coding RNA. RefSeq lists it as uncharacterized. Lineage: Eukaryota; Metazoa; Chordata; Mammalia; Rodentia; Sciuridae. The transcript is spliced from 3 exons. The record is from RefSeq and is a predicted model, not a curated record.